GUGCACGCUGGCGGUAGGCCUAACACAUGCAAGUCGAACGGCAGCACAGUAAGAGCUUGCUCUUACGGGUGGCGAGUGGCGGACGGGUGAGGAAUACAUCGGAAUCUACUUUUUCGUGGGGGAUAACGUAGGGAAACUUACGCUAAUACCGCAUACGACCUACGGGUGAAAGCAGGGGAUCUUCGGACCUUGCGCGAUUGAAUGAGCCGAUGUCGGAUUAGCUAGUUGGCGGGGUAAAGGCCCACCAAGGCGACGAUCCGUAGCUGGUCUGAGAGGAUGAUCAGCCACACUGGAACUGAGACACGGUCCAGACUCCUACGGGAGGCAGCAGUGGGGAAUAUUGGACAAUGGGCGCAAGCCUGAUCCAGCCAUACCGCGUGGGUGAAGAAGGCCUUCGGGUUGUAAAGCCCUUUUGUUGGGAAAGAAAUCCAGCCGGCUAAUACCUGGUUGGGAUGACGGUACCCAAAGAAUAAGCACCGGCUAACUUCGUG
RNAcentral lists this ribosomal RNA (491 nucleotides) under uncultured bacterium. RNAcentral's name for it is "partial 16S ribosomal RNA". It matches the Rfam family "Bacterial small subunit ribosomal RNA", at positions 29 to 507 of the family's 1533-position model. The record is from RNAcentral.